RNAcentral lists this ribosomal RNA (253 nucleotides) under uncultured bacterium. RNAcentral describes it as "partial 16S ribosomal RNA". It matches the Rfam family "Bacterial small subunit ribosomal RNA", at positions 524 to 776 of the family's 1533-position model. The record is from RNAcentral.
UACGAAGGGUGCAAACGUUGCUCGGAAUUAUUGGGCGUAAAGCGCACGUAGGCGGCUUAGCAAGUCGGAUGUGAAAUCCCUCGGCUCAACCAAGGAAGUGCAUCCGAAACUGCAGAGCUUGAGUACUUAAGAGGAUCGCGGAACUCCCGGUGUAGAGGUGAAAUUCGUAGAUAUCGGGAGGAACACCAGUGGCGAAGGCGGCGAUCUGGGAAGAUACUGACGCUGAGGUGCGAAAGCGUGGGGAGCAAACAGG